GACGAACGCUGGCGGCGUGCUUAACAUAUGCAAGUCGAACGGUGAAGCGCCUUCCUUUUUGGUGGGUGUGGAUGAGUGGCGAACGGGUGAGUGACACGUGAGUAACCUGCCCCCUUCUUCUGGAUAACCGCAUGAAAGUGUGGCUAAUACGGGAUAUUCUGGGUCUGCCGCAUGAUGGGUCUGGGAAAGAUAUUGUUUCGGUGGGGGAUGGGCUCGCGGCCUAUCAGCUUGUUGGUGGGGUGAUGGCCUACCAAGGCGGUGACGGGUAGCCGGCCUGAGAGGGUGGACGGUCACACUGGGACUGAGACACGGCCCAGACUCCUACGGGAGGCAGCAGUGGGGAAUAUUGCACAAUGGGCGCAAGCCUGAUGCAGCGACGCCGCGUGAGGGAUGGAGGCCUUCGGGUUGUGAACCUCUUUCGCCAGUGAAGCAGGCCUGCCUCGUUUGUGGGUGGGUUGACGGUAGCUGGAUAAGGAGCGCCGGCUAACUACGUG
Molecule: ribosomal RNA, 494 nt
Filed under: uncultured bacterium
Lineage: Bacteria
Description: partial 16S ribosomal RNA
Rfam family: Bacterial small subunit ribosomal RNA
Source: RNAcentral